CUGGGGGAAGGGAACGGAUUGGGAGAAAGGUAGAGCGGAAGGGAAUCAUUCUGUAGGAUCCAUCCUAGUGGGUACCAACGGAAUUAUCCGGAUGAGGGAAAGACAAUUUCAUGGAACAGCAAUAAGACUUUCACGAGUCAGAACAAGCACAGGAGGGGAUAAUGACUGAGCCACCAGUGAUACAGGAUUACAGUGAGUCCGAGGGGGGACUAGGGAUGGGCCGCAGGGCAUUCCAUUCUCUCUUCUGAAGGGGACAAGAUACCGAUCGACUGACCUGGAGAUGGACUGCAGGGGUCUCCUUGAUCACCAUGUGUGCAAUGGGAUCUGUUGCUGCUGUGGGGCGCUACGGCCUCGUUACAAGAGAUUGGUUGAUAAUAUUUUUCCGGAAGAUUCCGAGGAUGGUCUGGUGAAAGCAAACAUGGAGAAGCUGACCUUCUACGCGCUCUCGGCCCCAGAGAAACUGGACCGGAUUGGGUCCUACCUCUCCGAGAGGCUGAGCAGGGACGUAGCCCGACAUCGUUAUGGUUAUGUCUGCAUUGCUAUGGAAGCGCUGGACCAGCUUCUCAUGGCCUGUCACUGCCAGAGCAUCAACCUGUUUGUGGAGAGCUUUCUGAAGAUGGUGGCCAAACUGUUGGAAUCAGAAAAGCCAAAUCUACAGAUCUUGGGGACCAACUCAUUUGUGAAGUUUGCCAAUAUAGAAGAGGACACACCAUCGUAUCACCGCAGCUACGACUUCUUCGUCUCCCGCUUCAGUGAGAUGUGCCACUCCAGCCACGACGACGGGGAGAUCAGGACAAAGAUUCGCAUGGCAGGGAUCAAAGGGUUGCAGGGAGUUGUCAGGAAAACCGUGAAUGAUGAGCUUCAGGCUAAUAUCUGGGAGACCCAGCACAUGGACAAGAUUGUACCGUCGCUUCUGUACAACCUCCAGCAAGUGGAAGAGACAGAAAGCCGAUCGCCGUCUCCACUACAGACUAGUGAGAAGGAAAAGGAGAUCCCAGCAGAACUAGCAGAGAGGUGCCUCCGGGAGUUGCUGGGGAGAGCGGCCUAUGGGAAUAUCAAGAAUGCUAUCAAGCCUGUCCUAAUGCACUUGGAUAACCAUUCCCUGUGGGAGCCCAAACUCUUUGCUAUCCGAUGCUUUAAGAUCAUCAUGUAUUCCAUACAGCCCCAGCACUCCCACCUGGUAAUCCAGCAGCUCCUGGGCCACCUGGAUGCAAACAGUAAGAGCGCGGCCACGGUGAGAGCGGGGAUCGUGGAAGUGCUGUCCGAGGCGGCAGUUAUAGCUGCCAGCGGAUCUGUAGGUCCCACCGUGCUAGAAGUGUUCAACACCCUGCUCCGCCAGCUGCGGCUCAGCAUCGACUAUGAGCUCACCGGCACCUACGACUCUACCGUCAACAUCGGCACCAAAAUCAUCAAGGAGCAUGAGGAGAGGAUGUUCCAAGAAGCCGUAAUCAAGACAAUAGGCUCCUUUGCCAGCACCCUGCCAAUCUACCAGCGGUCGGAAGUCAUGCUGUUUAUAAUGGGGAAGGUGCCGCUGCCCUCUAUGCACCAUGCCAUGGACUUUGGCAAAGCAGGGGAGAACAGGAAUCGGUUAACCCAGAUCAUGCUGCUGAAAUCCCUCCUCCAGGUAUCCAUGGGCUUCCAGUGCAACAACAUGCUGACCGCCCUGCCCAGCUCCUUCCUGGACCCCCUGCUCUCCUCCGCCCUAAUGGAAGAUGCUGAGAUCCGACUCUUUGUCCUAGAAAUUCUCAUCUGCCUCAUCGACCGACACGGGAACAGGCACAAGAUCUCGAGCAUCAGCACAGAACCAGACAUCUCGGUGCUGAAGCUGAAGGUGGACAAGUGUUCCCGGCAGGACACGCUCUUCAUGAAGAAGCAUGCUCAGCAUCUGUACCGGCACAUCUACCUGAGCUGCAACGAGCCGACCAACGUGCAGACUCACUACGAAGCCCUUUAUUUCCUGCUGGUGAUUAUAAGCAUUGAGUUGGCCACCGAGGAUGUGGUGGUAGAUCUCAUCCGCCUGGUGUUAGCGGUGCAGGAGAUGGCUCUGAACAAUGAGGACAAUCUCCCUGCAUAUUGUCGCUGUGCCAUCCAGGCCCUCUGUGCCGCCUACCUCAGCCUGAUCAGCAACCUGACCACUGUGCCUGCCUUCUGCCAGCACGUUCAUGAGGUAAUAGAAAUGCGUCAGAAGGAGGCGCCGUAUUUACUCCCAGAAGAUAUAUUCACAGAAAAACCACAGUGGUCUAGUUCUAUGGAUCGCGUAGAGACCCAAUUGCUGUUCCUGCAGAGCAAGAUCAGUGAAGUGCUGGGAGGAAGCGGGUACAAUACAGACAGGCUGAGCACCCCGUAUGUACCCCAGCUAACAGAUGAAGAUCGCUUGUCGAAGAGGAAGAGUAUUGGCGAAACCAUCUCUCUGCAGGUUGAGGUGGAGUCGAGAAACAGCCCUGAGAAAGAGGAGAAAGCCCCCGCAGAAGAGAUUACGUUUGAGACUCUGAAGAAAGCCAUAGUUGAUAGUGUGGCUGUAGAAGAGCAGGAACGAGAGCGGAGGCGUCAGGUGGUGGAAAAGUUCCAGAAGGCUCCGUUUGAAGAAAUUGCAGCACAUUGUGGUGCAAGGGCAACGUUGCUCCAAAGUAAACUCAACCAAAUCUUUGAGCUGACGAUUCGGCCGCCACCCAGCCCCUCGGGCACCAUUACGGCGGCGUAUGGACAGUCCCAGAAUCACUCCAUCCCGGUGUAUGAAAUGAAGUUCCCGGAUCUGUGCGUCUACUGACAGGCGGCGCCAACUGCCGACUAAGGACUUUUCUGGCAGCAUGGCAGCAGCAGCGGUGGUACCGGGGUACAGACCAAGGCCCUGUACCUCUCCCUUUACCUCUUCCACCCAAAUGGAACAUAACUCCAGCAGCUGAAGGAGACACGGCUGUUCUCUCUGUAGGGCGCCCCUAUAUUUCUCCCUGCGAGCCGUAAUGUACAGUUGGAAACAUAUCCAGAAUAUGGACUCCUGGGCCAUAUGGUUCUGUAGCUAGCGAGCACCCCCACCUUAUUUCUCUGGUAUGGCUUCUUACCUUCGUGCUAAUGUGGGCGGCAGUAAUGCUACUGGGAACCCACCUACACCACUUACCUGCCUUCCACUCUUCAUAGGUCCAGUUAAUAAACCGUAUUUUCCCACAGAACCUUUCUCUGUAGCAACUAUCGCUGUUCAUUUAGUAAACAGAUUGUGAGGUGUCCAAGGCCCUUCUUCUCAUUUCAGGUCUGCACCCCAAGAACAAGCAAUAGGCCUUAUCUUCAGUUUACUUACCUGUAAUAUCCCUAUGGAUAUCAUUCACCGGUGCAUUACCAUUUCCUGCCAUGGGGGGAGCUAUGUUACAUUGUCAUGUUCUCUUACAGUGUAGCUGAAUGAUUAGACUUAUUUCUUGCUUCACCUUAUGGCCACCAGGGGAGCUCUUGCUACUGCUGCUCAUAGAGAAUGCCUCAUCCCAGGCAAGGCAUAUGGCAGCUCCCAAAUCAUCCUAAAAAUAUAUGCAGUGGGUGAAACUUGGGCCAUGUUUGGUGGCAGCUGGGGCUGUAUUUCUUUGGCAACAACAAAUUGCUGCUCUAGUAGCCAAAACUCCAUAAACACAAGUAUAAUAUAGCUACUCCUUUCUUAAUUCUUUACCUUUAAAGGGGAAGUUCAGAGUACCUUUUUAUCUGUUAUAGAUGGACCCGGUCUACACAACUUUUCAGUUGUUUUUAGUCUAUACUAAUCAUUUUAUAUGAUUUUUGAAUUUUUAGAAUUCAAUUUCAGUCUCUUUUCAACCCGCAACUGAAAAGUGUAUCAAUUAGAAUUGGGGUCAGUGACCCUGGCAACCAAAACACAUUGAUUGUGGUUUUACUGUCAUUCUUAUUAUUUCAUUGCAAUUCUUUUAUUUCUUUUCAGGUCCUUUACUAUUCAUUAUUCAUUCAUUUUAUGCAUUUAGAUGUCAGAACUGCUUCCUGGUUGCUAAGGUAGAUAUCCCCUAGCAACUAGCAAGUUAACAGUUGAAAUUUGACGACUGAGAGCUACAGACAUUCACAAACCAGGUAAAUGAUUAAAAAAAUAAAUAAGACCAAUUGCAAACUGCUUUCUAUAAUACUAAAAGUUCUUUCUAAGGUGACCCGCACCUAGAUCUAAUUUAAGACCUUUUUGUCUAAGCAUAUUUCCCCUUUAAUUGAGUUUUUUGUGAGUUUUGUGACUUUCCUGUAGCCAUAGGAGAGUGUUUAUGGCGAGUGAAGCCAUCGUUGGCCUUGGGAAGCAGAUAAUGUUCCGGGGGGGAAUGGUCACUAUGGGUGUAAGUGCAUAUUGUGCGGAUAGAGUGCCGGACACAAUCCGUCUGUAUAGAAAGUGCAGCCUUUGUUCCCCGCAUACAAAUGGGCAUCUGACGCAUUUUCUGCGCGCACACGGACGGGGCCACAGCUGCCUCGUGUAGUGCAGGAUCCUCUACAUAAAGGAACUGGGGGGCAAAUGGAUUCCAGCAACACAAUAACAAUGUUAUGGAAGCAUCAAUAACGGAAUAAUCCCCCCCGGAAUGAUCAAUUGGAAUUCUAGUAAUGGCACAAACCCGCCGAAUCCCAUUGGCUCCCAGUUAUUCUCUCACUAUUUUAUUAUUACUUUCCCUUUAUUUCAGUCUGUGUAGCCCUCAGUCUGGCAGCGCUGAGCCAUAGUGCCGCUAGUAAGGACUGGGUUCCUUGGCACCCUAAUAAAUUAGGGGGGAAUGGGGGAUGCCUACAUGCCUCCCCCCAGCUUUAAGUAAUACAGCUCUGCCGAUUGUUUACUAAAUGUAAUGAUUCUAUCCCACACAUUCUAAUCAUUGUAUCUGAGAUAUUCUGACCAUUAUAUUCCAUUCAUUUUAGCCAUUCUAUCUCACACAUUCCAAUGAUUCUAUCCCAUACAUUCUAAUCAUUGUAUCUGAGAUAUUCUGACCAUUAUAUUCCAUUCAUUGUAGCCAUUCUAUCUGACACAUUCCAAUGAUUCUAUCCCAUACAUUCUAAUCAUUGUAUCUGAGAUAUUCUAAUCAUUAUAUUCCAUUCAUUUUAGCCAUUCUAUCUGACACUUUCCAAUGAUUCUAUCCCAUACAUUCUAAUCAUUGUAUCUGAGAUAUUCUAACCAUUAUAUUCCAUUCAUUUUAGCCAUUCUAUCUGACACAUUCCAAUGAUUCUAUUCCAUACAUUCUAAAUUUUCUCUCCCGGAUAUUCUAACCGUUCUAUCCCAUGAAUUGUAAUAAUUCUAUCCAAGAUAUUCUAACCAUUCCAUCCCAUACAUUCUAGUCAUUCUAUCACAUUCUUACACAUUAUAAUGAUUAUAUCCCAUACACCCUAAUCAUUGUAUCCUAGAUAUUCUAUUUUAAUUAUUCUAUCUUCUAUUUCAAACAUUCUAUCCUGGACAUUCUCACCAUUCUAUCCCAUUCAUUCUUAUAAAUCUAUCUCAGAUAUUCUAACCAUACAUUCUAGUCAUUCUAUCUCACAUAUUCUAAUUUCUAGUUUAUGCUCCUUUCUAUUUAUGCAGACCUGUGCCACACCCAUUAUUAUUGUUUACAGCUCUGCUAAUUGGCGGCACUGCUGUAGGUCCAUAAUGAAAGAAUGAAUCUAUUCUGCACCUGCAAUUUGGGUCUUACCUGCUGGGAACAGGGUGCAAAGUGUGAAAGACACGGUUCCACCUUUCCCACCAUUUGUGAAUAACCCCUUACAUUAGUAUUAAAGAAAAGAGCAACCCAGACCAGUAUUUAGUUAUGUCAGCUGUAGCUCCUGGGCCCACACAUUCUUCUACUUGUGGGCUGAGCCCCAACCCAAGCCAAGUCAGAUUGGUAUUGGCUGCACCUCCGAGUAGGAACCUCAGAAUUAUUCUUUGUAACGAGGUGUGUGAUCUAAGCUUCCACUUGUAACUCAUGUAUAUACUGUAUAUAGGUACAAAGAAGGGGGGUUGGCUAAGUAAAGUUAUGAUCAUGAAGCUGACAAGCCCCCAUACCCCAUAUGAUGGUCCUAACUAUUUACCUCUGGUAAAGUGUUUCAUAGGCUAGUAUCUCCCUGUGUAGCAUAUGUUGGGAUACGUACUGUAUCUCCUGACCAAGGCACUGGUCUCACUGCAUAUAAGUAUCCCAACUCUUUUCCUUUAAAGGGGAAGUUCACCUUCAGUCAAUAGUCUGAAUUUGAAGAGCCCCUGUCCGAAAAAACAUUUUUGUAAUUCUUCUUUAUUAUUUAUGUUUAGUUUUGAAACUACAGACCAGGAUCAGCAGUGAUAAGACUCUCUCUCCUCUGCUCUUCCUUUGGAAGGGAUUGCCGACACCAACUUGCAUUUUACCCAAACAGGAAGUUGGCACUGAACUAGUGCACUAUUGCACAUGCCCUUCCUCUCCUCCUGUAUUUGCAUUUCAUUGAUUCUAUUGGCUGAAUCUUGCAAGGCAGUGGUAUCAAAUAUAUGUGCAGUAACCAGUUCAGUGCCAACUUCCUGUUUGGGGAGAAUGCAAGUUGGUGUCGGCAAUCCCUUUCAAAGAGAGAGAGCGAAAAUGUUUUUUCUGAUAGGGGUUCUUCAAAUUCAGACUGUUGUCUGAAGGUAAACUUCCCCUUUAGGUGCAUGUCAUGUGGGGCAAAUGGGCAGAUAAUACACUUUACACUGGUUCUGCUUUUCAAUGCCAACAUCACUAAUCUGAGAAAUGUAAAUUGGUGGGAAAUAGUGUUUGAUAAAUAAAACAACUGGUUAAUUUAGUUAGUAUCCCAUCAAGGUGCAUAGAUAAGUUAUAUAUAAAGUAAUAUGUAUAUAUAUUCUGAACCUGGUGCACCAACCUUGGGCACUGAUGUUGGGGAUCAGGCCUGGCUCACAGUUGGGGUUCCAGUUCAUCCUACUGGGGUUCAGUUGGGUCAGGCUUAUGUGCAGUCAGGUUCUUCUCAUCUCAGCAACCUUGGGCACUGAUGUUGGGGAUCAGGCCUGGCUUACAGUUGGGGUUCCAGUUUAUCCUACAGGGGUUCAGUUGGGUCAGGGUUCUGUACAGUCAGAUUCUUCCCAUCUCAGCAAACCCAUUUUGUAGGACCUGGCUCUAUGCAUGGGGGGCAUUAUUGUGCCGAAACAGGGAUGAGCCCCCCCAAACUGUUGGGAAUGUUAUGGCAAUCAUGGGUGUGGCUUAAUUAUCCAAUUAUUAGUUGGUGUGUUAACAUACUUUUGGCCAUAUAGUGCAUCCAGCGGAGUGAUCCAUGGGCUUACAGGGGGUUAAUAGUUCUGAUACCCUCUCCCGGAACCCUUUGUCUCCAUUUCUGUGUCAUAACCUGCCUGUCCUUACACUAAUGGAACCCUUUCUGCUCUGAUGGCAAAGCCUCCUUCCCCCCCCCAGUCGCAGUCUCAAUACCCCUGUAUAAUUCCACCCACGCCAGAAAAAAAUCAUUUACUUCUCAAAAAUGAAACAAAUAUAUUUUUCUUUUAUCAAACAUGGUCGUUUGUAAUAUUUUUAUAUAAAAAAAAAGAUGUUGUUGAUCCCAUUCCUGUGCCCCGAAAGCAGUAGAAUAAAUUGUGCAGACUUGUCCCUGGGCAAACGGGUCCCCUCCCUGAUGUAAAUACCGCUGUACAUUGCCAAUAAAGUGUAAUCAUUGUCAGUGUGUCAAAUGAUUCCUGUGCUGUCGUUAAUAAAAUUGUACCUUCGGUACAGAAUCACUUGUA
Molecule: RNA transcript, 7654 nt
Organism: Xenopus tropicalis (tropical clawed frog)
Lineage: Eukaryota; Metazoa; Chordata; Amphibia; Anura; Pipidae
Gene: efr3b
Gene name: EFR3 homolog B
Exons: 24
Source: RefSeq, a predicted model, not a curated record